RNAcentral lists this ribosomal RNA (465 nucleotides) under Vreelandella stevensii. Its description in RNAcentral is "partial 16S ribosomal RNA". It matches the Rfam family "Bacterial small subunit ribosomal RNA", at positions 338 to 795 of the family's 1533-position model. The record is from RNAcentral. Lineage: Bacteria; Pseudomonadati; Pseudomonadota; Gammaproteobacteria; Oceanospirillales; Halomonadaceae.
CCUACGGGGGGCAGCAGUGGGGAAUAUUGGACAAUGGGGGCAACCCUGAUCCAGCCAUGCCGCGUGUGUGAAGAAGGCCCUCGGGUUGUAAAGCACUUUCAGUGAGGAAGAACGCCUGGUGGUUAAUACCCAUCAGGAAAGACAUCACUCACAGAAGAAGCACCGGCUAACUCCGUGCCAGCAGCCGCGGUAAUACGGAGGGUGCGAGCGUUAAUCGGAAUUACUGGGCGUAAAGCGCGCGUAGGUGGCUUGAUAAGCCGGUUGUGAAAGCCCCGGGCUCAACCUGGGAACGGCAUCCGGAACUGUCAAGCUAGAGUGCAGGAGAGGAAGGUAGAAUUCCCGGUGUAGCGGUGAAAUGCGUAGAGAUCGGGAGGAAUACCAGUGGCGAAGGCGGCCUUCUGGACUGACACUGACGCUGAGGUGCGAAAGCGUGGGUAGCAAACAGGAUUAGAUACCCGAGUAGUC